AGUCAGUGGAAGUAUUUUAGUUGCCUUCAAUGGGCUUUGAAUCAGGCCCAAAAUAUCUUCAGGCCAAAUUCAACUCUUCUUAACAGCAGUGAGGUUUACAAGUGUAACUGAGGACAGAACUUGUCCUUUAUUGUUUUUCUUAAUUUGCUAGUUAACUCUUCUCCCUUGAUAUCAGCUCUUUGUUUGACAGUGACAGGGGGCAUGCGAGCGAUUUAUGGAGAUGAAGUAAAAGGUUUUGAAAAUGUGCAGAAUGUAUUCAAGACUUAUCCCUCAGUCUCACUAAAAUCAAGCUUAAUGGCAGAGAAGUUACACAUGUGAUCUGGACUUACAUCUCCUACCCAAACUGAGGUCCACUUUUAUACGGAGUCACUACUCAACCUCCAAAUCUCAUUACUGGAUCAGAUAAAAACUACAAACUCACACCACGUUCUGAGUUACUGGAAUGGAACUAGAACUAUUCAAAGAUUCUUUUUUAGAAGGCAGCAUAUACAAUGGCACAAAGAGAUCAUGAAAUCAAUACAUAAAAGCUGUACACAGAUUGACCAAAGGCAAGACUUUAUUUUGAAAUAAAUAUGGUGCAGCGUCUGUCAUGAUACACUACGCUGAGCCUGUUUCUUCAUGAGCUACAGCAUGGGUGCAAUGUGUUUGCUGAGAUUUCUACCAUCACAAAUACAGUCACUAAAGCCAACUAUUAAAAAACAAGGGAGGAAUUGUGGAAUGGCAAAGGCUAGAAAUGCUGCAGCAGCAGAAGACCCAACACACCUGCAGUGGAGGUGGGAAUGGUUCCCAAUGCUUAACUGCAAAAUUUCUGCCCAUAAAGAAUGAUGUUCAUGGGGUCUUUCAUGUAAGGUGCGGGAA
Long non-coding RNA from Mauremys reevesii (Reeves's turtle), 858 nucleotides. RefSeq lists it as uncharacterized. The record is from RefSeq and is a predicted model, not a curated record. The transcript has 5 exons. Lineage: Eukaryota; Metazoa; Chordata; Testudines; Geoemydidae.